This 1164-nucleotide long non-coding RNA is filed under the name Olea europaea subsp. europaea. Lineage: Eukaryota; Viridiplantae; Streptophyta; Magnoliopsida; Lamiales; Oleaceae. The record is from RNAcentral.
CGAACGAAUUGUGCACUAAUGAGUUUGGUAAUCUCCUCUUUUAUGACUUCUCGUCUUUCCGGUGCAAAUUGCAUCUUCCUUUGCUUCAUAGGUCUUGCUUCUGGGUUCACGUUAAGUCUAUGUACUGCAACCUCUGGAUCAAUUCCAGGCAUGUCCUCAACAUUCCAAGCGAAUACAUCAAUAUUCCGGGAAAGAUAGCUUAGAAGCUCAGCCAUGACCUCUGCAUCUAACCCCCGACCAACUGUCACUUUUCUUCCAGACUCAAUCUCGACCUCCUCCAAUCCUUUUACCGGAGCUAGCCUUCCGUAAUUUUCAUGCUCGAGCUCGAGCUCUGUAACUUGCAUGACGUCAUUUUUUAUUUUUCGAACGCUAGUCACAUAACACUGUCAGGCCACCGUUUGGUUGCCUCGGACUACCCCGAUGCCAUUAGAAGUAGGGAAUUUCAUAGCCAAGUGAAAAGUUGAGACAAUAGCUCGAAUUCUGUUGAGCAUUGGUCUUCCCAAUAUGGCGUUGUAAGCCAUUGGCAUACGGACGACUUCAAAGGUAGUGAUUUACGUCACCUGUUUACCUUCGGCUCCCAAUGUUAAGGGUAACCCGACGAUACCUUUCGGGAUGAUGACCCCACCUCCAAACCCUUGGAGGGGUGUUUUCACUGGCUUUAGUUGUUCUGACGAGAUCCCCAUUUGAACAAAAGCUUCGUGAAAUUGCACGUUUGCUGCAUUUCCGUUAUCUACCAGAAUUCUCUUGACUUCAAAGUUUGCGAUGAUGGCCGAUAUGACAAGGGCAUCAUCAUGGGGGAAUGCUAUGCCUUCCAAGUCAUCCAUUCCAAAACUGAUGUCCUCUGUACGACCAAGAUCUGGUCUUGAGAUGAUUGGUGGCUGCCUGGCAUACUGUUUUCGCCCACUGCUAGAGUCCCCUCACGAGGUUGUUCCUCCGACAAUGAUAUUGAUAGUGCCUGCAGUUGGUUGCUUGUUUUCCCAAUCCUCUGGGCCUUUCCCCCCGUUCUAGUUAUUCCUUGGGCAUUUGUCAUUGUUAAUGUAAGAGCUCAAAAAUCCCUUCUUAUAAGAGGUUCGAUUUCUCGCUUUAAGGCCAGACAGUCUUCUGUUGUAUGGCCGUGAUCUCUAUGGAAAUCACAGUAUUUACUCUUGUCACGAGUAUUAGGGG